GGUUGAAAUAAUAAAAUGAUUGCAUCGGAUGAUACUGACACGUCUGGUGCGGAGGAAAAAACACCAGGGAAAAUUGACCAGAAAAAAUCCAAAAAGCAUAAAAAAUAUAAAAAGCACAAGAAGUCUAAUCGUGAUGAAAAAAACGAUAAACUCAAGCCGAAAAAACACAAAAAGAACAAGCGGAAGCAUCGCGAGGAAGAGGGCGAAAUUUCAGAUUCGGAAGAAGACAACGAAGAGACCAUUAAAAGUUCGUCUAAGAUUGACAUACGGAAGCUGGAACACGCUAUCCGUGUUAAACCCAAAGAUGACGACAAUAAGCCCAAAGACAAUGGAAAUCUGAAAGCAUCUCUUGAAAAGCGUAAAUCAUCGUUGGUGCCGGAAAUAUCAACCGAUCCGGAGCAAUUAGUCGCCAUCUUGACUCAAUCGUUGGACAAGGGCAAACCAGUUGGUGAUAAGCCAGAUGUUGUUUCGGUGGAAAGUGAUAGCGAUGGAACGGCUGUGGAGGAUGUGCCCAGUCCGGAUGUAGCUGUUAUCGAGGAUGAACUGAAUCUGGAAGAUUUGAUGCGACAAAAGGCUUUGCUGCAGGCUUGUUUAGGCGAAUUCGGCUCCGAAGAUGAAGAAGAGGAAACUGAACCUAGCGCAGGAACGACCACUAAACCAGACAAACGAAAGAAGAAAAAAGAUGAUGAUGUUAUUAUGAUUGAGGGCGACUCCAGCGCUGAAGAUGUAAACCGUCUGUUGAAGAAGGCUCGCCAACGUAGCCCACGCAGCCAUGAAGAGCGCAAAAGAAAGACUUCCGAUGCGGACAAGCGAAAUAGUCGUGGGGAGGCAGAUGCCAAGGCUCGAGCCAAGCAGCAAGAGUUAGAAAAAGAACGUACUCGCGAAGAACAUCGGCGACAGCGUGAACAAGAGGAACAUCGUAGAAUGGCCGAGGAACGAUACCAACGAGAGCGGGCAAGGGACAGAGAACGGGAACGGGAUCGGGAGCGUGAGAGAGAUCGAGAACGUGAAAGAGAUCGUGCAAGGGCGAGACAACGCGAAAGGGACCGUUCGAUGGAGAGGUAUCGUGAUCGACGAGGCUUGUCCAGAGAUCGACGAUCGAUGGAACGCGGAGGUGGGAACGGGAGAAUGUACAAUUCACGUGAUCGGUACCGUGGACGUAGCCGCAGCAGAGAUAGAGAUCGGGAUCGCGACGACCGGGGUCGUUAUGACCGCGAAAGGAACGAUCGCAAUGGAAGAGAUAGACGUGGCGGACCCGGUAAGCGACGUCCGGAGGACGAUAGGUUUAAAGAUUCGUUGAGUGAAGGCCUCAAGCAACAGAGGGAUUCUAGUAGUGACAGCGAUCUGGGCGACAUCGAUAUUGACGAUGAAGAAGAUGAGGAAAAGAUCAUCGAAAAGAGGAGAAAGCAACGCGAGGAGCUUUUAAAGAAACUUGGCGCAGGAAACGAAGACAGCAAUCCACCACCAGAAGCGCCAAAGGCAAUUCAAACUAAAACUGAACCAAAAGUUGUCGUCACAAAGCAUGAAAGAAGCAGUAAUCACAUGAGCAAGUCACGAAAAAAAUCAGAUGAAUAUAUCAUUAUUGACAAGCCGUCUCCGAAGGAUUCCAAACAGGCGGAGAAAUCGCCUAAUGAUUCGUUGACUCCGCCCAUGCCCAUAACUAGAGUGAGUUCCGAAGACCAAAACGACUCAUUGGAGGAGGAUAAGUCCAAACAAGACAAAGACAAAUCCAACAAACGUGCCGAAUGGGACAUGUUUGCCGAACAGGAUAUCGACUCGAACUUUGAUUCACCCAGUACGGUGGUUGCUAAUAAGCAAGGCAACGAGAAUCCCGCUCUUACUGAUAACUGGGACGACGCAGAAGGAUACUAUCGGGUGCGUAUUGGUGAAGUGCUGGACAAUCGCUAUGUGGUCGCAAACUACACAGGCCAAGGCGUUUUCAGUACGGUAGUACGUGCUAGAGAUCAAGCUCGAGGAAAUGCUUUGGUAGCUGUAAAAAUUAUAAGGAACAACGAAAUUAUGCAUAAAACCGGUCUUCGUGAGUUGGAAACUUUGAAGAAACUCAAUGAUACAGAUCCAGAGGAUCGAUACCACUGUCUCAGACUGUUUCGUCAUUUUUUCCACAAACAGCAUCUCUGCAUGGUCUUAGAACCGCUCUCUAUGAAUCUACGGGAGGUACUUAAAAAGUAUGGUAAAAACGUCGGGUUACACAUCAAAGCCGUCCGCAGCUACACGCAGCAGUUAUUGUUGGCCUUGAAGCUGCUCAAAAAAUCCAACAUCCUUCACGCCGACAUUAAGCCGGACAACAUUCUGGUCAACGACAACAAUCUGGUGCUCAAGCUGUGCGAUUUUGGUUCUGCUUCGUCGGUGGCGGACAACGAUAUUACGCCGUACUUGGUAUCACGGUUCUAUCGUGCACCGGAGAUCAUUCUCGGCCUUCCGUAUGACUACGGAAUCGACAUGUGGUCCGCCGGUUGCACCAUCUAUGAAUUGUAUACUGGCAAAAUCUUAUUUAGUGGUAAAUCAAAUAAUCAAAUGCUUAAAUUUUUCAUGGAUUUAAAGGGCAAGAUACCGAACAAAAUCAUACGGAAAGGACAGUUCAAAGACCAGCACUUCGAUGCGAACUGCAACUUCCUAUCGCACGAGAUCGACAAAAUCACGGAACGGGAAAAAGUCGUCGUCGUGUCGGUAAUCAAGCCGAACCGAGAUCUGCAACAGGAACUGAUCGCUGGGCAAAACCUACCGGAUGACCAAAUCCGCAAAGUUUCUCAACUGAAGGAUCUGCUGGACAAGGUGUUUGCACUGGAUCCGGCGAAACGGAUUUCGUUGAAUCAUGCACUGGCGCAUCCCUUCAUUCAAGACAAGAUCUAAUCAGGAUAGUUUUGUCGGGUCGGUUGGACCGCCCCUCGGAAGCGCUAAAACCGUACCAGCGUUUGUACGUUCACCGGAAUAUCAGUGUGUGUGAUAAUGUACGCGUUUGACGAUCUCUUGUUUUUACGAUGCAAAAAUAAGAGAGCACAUCGGUCACGCGCGAAGCUGGCUGGCCGCGGACGGGGCCCGGCUCAAGACACGGUCACAGUGCAGCGCAGUCCCACCAUACCUGCCUCUCUUUGUCAAUCUCAAGCCACCAAACGCAAAAUGCACUCGAGUGCUCUAAAUCUGGCCAUCUUGUGCCGAAGCGCCUAGCAUCACACCAAUCUUGUAAUCCAAAUGAUUCUACCCACAAAUUGUAGAGCGUGUUUGUGUGCGCCUAAGGUUGAGCAGUGCCUAUUUUUCUCUGGCGCCGAAAGAGGUAGUGACAUAAUUGACAUUUACAACACAACUCUCUGUUUAGUUUAUAUUUAUUAUAAUUUUCGAUCCUUCCCCCGUUACAAUAGCAAAUUUGUUUCAAUUCUAUUUGCCUCACUUUUCAAAAAAAAUGUCCAAACUGAGAGUCAACCUAGUCAUUCCUUACAGAACUAUUUUUGUGAACGAUUGAUCUUCCGCUGUUCUUUUCUUUUCUUCUAUUAUUCUUUACAGGAGCGAAAAAUAAGACGUGUGUGGUUCAUUUAUUUGGGUCCGACUCAUCGUAUUUAAAGGUAAGUCUUUGUUUUUUUUUGAAGAUUUGAACAAACUAUAGUUUCCAUUAUUAUUGGACAGCUCGUGGAGAGUAAGUGUCGUUGUGAGUUCUAUACAGCCUCAUGUUGCAAUGAAAGUUGCAUUUUGAAAUUUAUUCGCAUAACAGUGUCUCCGAAACCUGUAAGUCAUAAAAUGUAAAUAUCAUCAAUCUCAUCGCAAAGGGCCGCCCUCAAACCACGUAGACCGAAAAAUCACAUUUUCAAAAAACCCCUCCCCCUAGCAGACUUUCGUAGACUUUUCCGAAACCCCUCCCACACCCCCUUGAAGUCAUAGACUUUUUCAAAUUUUACAAAAUAUCAUAUGUGAUUGGAAAAAAUAUGGAAAUCAACCACGUUUUCAGCAAUGCAGCUAUACAAAUCCAUUUCGAAAUCCAUUGUGAACAUUACAGUAAAAUUCAAAGUUCAAACAUAACAAAAUCAAACUGAACAAAAUCCAAUACAAUAUUAG
RNA transcript from Armigeres subalbatus, 4065 nucleotides. It is a transcript of the gene named serine/threonine-protein kinase PRP4 homolog, with no coding region annotated. The transcript is spliced from 7 exons. Lineage: Eukaryota; Metazoa; Arthropoda; Insecta; Diptera; Culicidae. The record is from RefSeq and is a predicted model, not a curated record.